GCUUCCAUAGCACAGUGGUAGUGCGCUCGCUUAGUAAGCGAAAGGUCACGAGUUCAAAUCUCGUUGGAAGCU
This is a transfer RNA of Selaginella moellendorffii, 72 nucleotides long. It matches the Rfam family "tRNA". From Rfam's summary of the family: Transfer RNA (tRNA) molecules are approximately 80 nucleotides in length. Lineage: Eukaryota; Viridiplantae; Streptophyta; Lycopodiopsida; Selaginellales; Selaginellaceae. The record is from Rfam.